AGAGUUCGAUCCUGGCUCAGGACGAACGCUGGCGGCGUGCCUUACCCAUGCAAGUCGAACGGCUUAGCUACGGCUAGGCAGUGGCAGACGGCUGAGUAACACGUGAGGAUCUGUCCAGUUGAGGGGGAUAGCCGCUCGAAAGAGCGGGUAAUACCGCGUAAGCUCCCGAGAGGGAGGAAACCUGCGAGGUGACACUUGUGGGGUGACUGGAGGAACUCGCGGCCCAUCAGGUAGUAGGUGUGGUAGAAGCGCACCUAGCCUAUGACGGGUAGCUGGUCUGAGAGGAUGAUCAGCCAGACUGGGACUGAGAGACGGCCCAGACUCCUACGGGGGGCAGCAGGGGGGAAUCUUGGUCAAUGGGGGAAACCCUGAACCAGCGACGCCGCGUGAGGGACGAAGGCCUUCGGGUCGUAAACCUCUUUUGCCAGGGAAGAUGAUGACGGUACCUGGCGAAUAAGCCCCGGCUAACUACGUGCCAGCAGCCGCGGUAAUACGUAGGGGGCGAGCGUUGUCCGGAUUUAUUGGGCGUAAAGAGCGCGUAGGCGGUUUUGAGAGUCGGCUGUGAAAUCUCCAGGCCUAACCUGGAGGGGUCGGCCGAGACCUUGAGACAUGAGGGUGGUAGAGGAAGGUGGAAUUCCGGGUGUAGUGGUGAAAUGCGUAGAUAUCCGGAGGAACACCAGUGGCGAAGGCGGCCUUCUGGGCCAUACCUGACGCUGAGGCGCGAAAGCGUGGGGAGCGAACCGAAUUAGAUACUCGGGUAGUCCACGCCCUAAACGAUGGACGCUAGGUGUCGGGGGUAUCGACCCCCCCGGUGCCCGAGCUAACGCAGUAAGCGUCCCGCCUGGGGAGUACGGCCGCAAGGCUAAAACUCAAAGGAAUUGACGGGGGCCCGCACAAGCGGUGGAGCAUGUGGUUCAAUUCGACGCAACGCGAAGAACCUUACCUGGGCUCGAACGGCUCGUGAUCGGCUGUGGAAACACGGCUUUCCCGCAAGGGACUAGAGUCGAGGUGCUGCAUGGCUGUCGUCAGCUCGUGUCGUGAGAUGUUGGGUUAAGUCCCGCAACGAGCGCAACCCUUGUCCUGUGUUGCUACCCGAAAGGGGCACUCUCAGGAGACUGCCAGCGAUAAGCUGGAGGAAGGUGGGGACGACGUCAAGUCAUCAUGGCCUUUAUGUCCAGGGCUACACACGUGCUACAAUGGGCGGUACAAUACGCUGCAAACCCGCGAGGGGGAGCUAAUCGCUAAAAACCGUUCUCAGUUCGGAUCGCAGGCUGCAACUCGCCUGCGUGAAGCUGGAAUCGCUAGUAAUGGCAUAUCAGAACGAUGCCGUGAAUACGUUCCCGGGCCUUGUACACACCGCCCGUCACAUCACGAAAGUGGGUUGUACUAGAAGUCUGCAGGCUAACCCGCAAGG
RNAcentral lists this ribosomal RNA (1414 nucleotides) under metagenome. RNAcentral's name for it is "bacterial SSU rRNA". It matches the Rfam family "Bacterial small subunit ribosomal RNA". The record is from RNAcentral.